This 403-nucleotide ribosomal RNA is filed under the name uncultured bacterium. RNAcentral describes it as "bacterial SSU rRNA". It matches the Rfam family "Bacterial small subunit ribosomal RNA", at positions 355 to 774 of the family's 1533-position model. The record is from RNAcentral.
UAAGGAAUCUUCCGCAAUGGACGAAAGUCUGACGGAGCAACGCCGCGUGCAGGAUGAAGGCUUUCGGGUCGUAAACUGCUUUUGUAUGGGAAGAUUAUGACGGUACCAUACGAAUAAGGACCGGCUAACUACGUGCCAGCAGCCGCGGUAAUACGUAGGGUCCAAGCGUUAUCCGGAAUUACUGGGCGUAAAGCGUCUGUAGGCGGAUUGUUAAGUGCAUCGCGAAAUCCUGUGGCUCAACCAUAUGGACUGUGAUGCAUACUGGCAAUCUAGAGGAUGGCAGAGGCAAGUGGAAUUACCGGUGUAGCAGUGAAAUGCGUAGAUAUCGGUAGGAACACCAAUGGCGAAGGCAGCUUGCUGGGCCAUUUCUGACGCUAAGAGACGAAAGCGUGGGGAGCGAACA